Long non-coding RNA from Nomascus leucogenys (northern white-cheeked gibbon), 466 nucleotides. RefSeq lists it as uncharacterized. The transcript has 2 exons. Lineage: Eukaryota; Metazoa; Chordata; Mammalia; Primates; Hylobatidae. The record is from RefSeq and is a predicted model, not a curated record.
AUAGUAAUUUGGAACCAAAACUCAGGACGUCCCAGGAGAGGCUAGAUUAGGAAUUCUUUGAUUUGGGAUCACGAAAGUGAAGUAUCCAUAUUUUAACAGAAUGAUUAGUGGCAGAGGAAUCAUCUAAGAAAACUGAGAAGGCUCUGCCAGAGUAAUGGGAAGAAAACUAGAUGAGAAAGCACUUUUCUGGAAGACAUGCUCCUCUGAACUAUGGAGAGGAGAGGAGAGGGAAGAAGUUAUUUGUGAUGUCAUUUGCCUGUGUCAUGGCCUGCCUUCCCUAGAUAUUGUCAUAAUGUGAGCAUCACACCUAAGGUACUGAAAUAGAGUGCUGGCUGUUCCUUACGGACAUCUCUGAUGGUAAAUAAAUACACAGAGAUUGCUAGUGCCUUUAACAGAGCAAUACAUUAUAAGCACAGUUAUCUCAUUUUUAAACAAACUCAUUUAAUAAAUACCUUUGCUUUUAUUA